Sinocyclocheilus rhinocerous is the source of this 250-nucleotide long non-coding RNA. RefSeq lists it as uncharacterized. NCBI's taxonomy places the organism in Eukaryota, Metazoa, Chordata, Actinopteri, Cypriniformes, Cyprinidae. The record is from RefSeq and is a predicted model, not a curated record. The transcript is spliced from 4 exons.
GCCAUAAGCUCGACUUCAACAGCAUUGCACAAGGUUUAUGAAUCAUUAGAUCCAGUUCAUCCAGUUUGUAUCACUCUAUCAAAUAAAGGAUGUGUUUGAGCAUCCAGUCAACAGAAGCAGAGCUCUGGGACGUGUGGACAGACAUUCGCUGUAAUGAUGGACAUCUGCUCAUGGACAGGCUGAAAAGCAUAACCCCUGCUGGAUAUCGCUCUGGGACCCAAACCAUCCCCACCCCUUCAUUCACUGUGAG